CUUCAACCCUUCUCUCUCUCCUCCCUAUUCUUCAAUUAUUUUUCACCCCUUCUCUCUCCCCCCCUUUCUUCCAUUCUUCUUCACCCCUUCUCUCUCCCCUCCCCAUUCUUCAAUUCUUCUUCACCCCUUCUCUCUCUCCUCCCUAUUCUUCAAUUCUUCUUCACCCCUUCUCUCGCCCCCUCCUUAUUCUUCAAAUCUUCUUCACCCCUUCUCUCUCCCUUCCCUAUUCUUCAAUUCUUCUUCACCCCUUCUCUCUCCCCUCCAUAUUCUUCAAUUCUUCUUCACCCCAUCUCUCUCCCCUCCCUAUUCUUCGAUUCUUCUUCACCCCUUCUCUCUCUCCUCCCUAUUCUUCAAUUCUUCUUCACCCCUUCUCUCUCUCCUCCCUAUUCUUCAAUUAUUUUUCACCCCUUCUCUCUCCCCCCCUUUCUUCAAUUCUUCUUCACCCCUUCUCUCUCCCCUCCCUAUUCUUCAAUUCUUCUUCACCCCUUCUCUCUCCCCUCCAUAUUCUUCAUUUCUUCUUCACCCCUUCUCUCUCCCCUCCCUAUUCUUCUUCAAUUCUUCUUCACCCCUUCUCUCUCCCACUCCCUAAUCUUCAAAUCUUCUUCACCCCCUUCUCUCUCCCCUCCCUAUUCUUCUUCACCCCUUCUCUCUCCCCUCUCUAUUCUUCAAUUCUUCUUCACCCCUUCUCUCUCUCCUCCCUAUUCUUCAAUUCUUCUUCACCCCUUCUCUCUCCUCUCCCUAUUCUUCAAUUCUUCUUCACCCCUUCCCUCUCUCCUCCCUAUUCUUCAAUUCUUCUUCACCCCUUCUCUCUCCCCUCCCUAUUCUUCAAUUCUUCUUCACCCCUUCUCUCUCGCACUUCCUAUUCUUCAAUUCUUCUUCACCCCUUCUCUCUCUCCUCCCUAUUCUUCAAUUCUUCUUCACCCCUUCUCUCUCCCCUCCCUAUUCUUCAAUUCUUCUUCACCCCUUCCCUCUCUCCUCCCUAUUCUUCAAUUCUUCUUCACCCCUUCUCUCUCUCCUCCCUAUUAUUCUUCACCCCUUCUCUCUCCCCUCCCUAUCCUUCAAUUCCUCUUCACCCCUUCUCUCUCCCCUCCCUAUUCUUCAAUUCUUCUUCACCCCUUCUCUCUCCCCUCCCUAUUCUUCAAUUCCUCUUCACCCCUUCUCUCUCCCCUCCCUAAUCUUCAAUUCUUCUUCACCCCUUCUCUCUCCCACUCCAUAUUCUUCAAUUCUUCUUCACCCCUUCUCUCUCCCCCUCCCUAUUCUUCAAAUCUUCUUCACCCCUUCUCUCUCCCCUCCCCAUUCUUCUUCACCCCUUCUCUCUCCCCUCCCUAUUCUUCUUCACCCCUUCUCUCUCCCCCUCCCUAUUCUUCAAUUCUUUUUCAGCACUUCUUUCUCCCCCUCCCUUUUCAUCUUCACCCCUUCUCUCUCCCCUCCCUAUUCUUCAAUUCGUGUUCACCUCUUCUCUCUCCCCCUCUCUGUUCAUCAAAUCUUCUUCACCCAUUCUCUCUCCCACUCCCUAUUCCUCAAUUCUUCUUCACCCCUUCUCUCUCCCACUCCCUAUUCCUCAAUUCUUCUUCACCCCUUCUCUCUCCCACUCCCUAUUCUUAAAUUAUUCUUCACCCCUUCUCUCUCUCCCUCCCUAUUCCUCAAUUCCUGCAAAAUCCUCAUAAGCUAACCU
This 1675-nucleotide long non-coding RNA is filed under the name Oncorhynchus mykiss (rainbow trout). RNAcentral's name for it is "lncRNA (ENSOMYG00000075906.1)". Lineage: Eukaryota; Metazoa; Chordata; Actinopteri; Salmoniformes; Salmonidae. The record is from RNAcentral.